This 25-nucleotide non-coding RNA is filed under the name Mus musculus (house mouse). Lineage: Eukaryota; Metazoa; Chordata; Mammalia; Rodentia; Muridae. The record is from RNAcentral.
UACAGAGCAAUUGUGAUAACAGCAU